AGUCAUUGUAGCAAUACAAGGCAGACGGCACAUUAACGCGUAGUCAACCUAACCUAUGGACGGGAAUAACCUCGGGAAACUGAGAAUAAUGCCCGAUAGAACACUAUAUCUGGAAUGGUUUGUGUUCCAAAUGAUUUAUCGCCGUAGGAUGGGACUGCGGCCUAUCAGUUUGUUGGUGAGGUAAUGGCCCACCAAGACUAUUACAGGUACGGGCUCUGAGAGGAGUAGCCCGGAGAUGGGUACUGAGACACGGACCCAGGCCCUAUGGGGCGCAGCAGGCGAGAAAACUUUGCAAUGUGCGAAAGCACGACAAGGUUAAUCCGAGUGAUUUGUGCUAAACGAAUCUUUUGUUAGUCCUAGAACCACUAACGAAUAAGGGGUGGGCAAGUUCUGGUGUCAGCCGCCGCGGUAAAACCAGCACCUCAAGUGGUCAGGAUGAUUAUUGGGCCUAAAGCAUCCGUAGCCGGCUCUGUAAGUUUUCGGUUAAAUCUGUACGCUUAACGUACAGGCUGCCGGGAAUACUGCAGAGCUAGGGAGUGGGAGAGGUAGACGGUACUCGGUAGGAAGGGGUAAAAUCCUUUGAUCUAUUGAUGACCACCUGUGGCGAAGGCGGUCUACCAGAACACGUCCGACGGUGAGGGAUGAAAGCUGGGGGAGCAAACCGGAUUAUAUACCCGGGUAGUCCCAGCUGUAAACUAUGCAAACUCAGUGAUGCAUUGA
Molecule: ribosomal RNA, 720 nt
Filed under: uncultured archaeon
Lineage: Archaea
Description: bacterial SSU rRNA
Rfam family: Archaeal small subunit ribosomal RNA
Source: RNAcentral